AACGUCAAAAAGUCUUAUCCCGCUUGUGCCUGCACAAUAAAGGGAUGAUGACUUUGAGACACGCCCACAAUAUGAGCAUAAAAGUGAAGUGCAAACUUCACAAUAUGCGAAUAUUGAGGGGAAGGAUUGUGGGAGUGUGAAGCACGCAACAAUCCGUGUA
This 160-nucleotide small RNA is filed under the name Eubacterium ventriosum. Its description in RNAcentral is "Clostridiales-1 RNA". It matches the Rfam family "Clostridiales-1 RNA". Lineage: Bacteria; Bacillati; Bacillota; Clostridia; Eubacteriales; Eubacteriaceae. The record is from RNAcentral.